Molecule: ribosomal RNA, 494 nt
Filed under: uncultured bacterium
Lineage: Bacteria
Description: partial 16S ribosomal RNA
Rfam family: Bacterial small subunit ribosomal RNA
Source: RNAcentral
GACGAACGCUGGCGGCGUGCCUAAUACAUGCAAGUAGAACGCUGAAGGAGGAGCUUGCUUCUCUGGAUGAGUUGCGAACGGGUGAGUAACGCGUAGGUAACCUGCCUGGUAGCGGGGGAUAACUAUUGGAAACGAUAGCUAAUACCGCAUAAUAGUAGAUGUUGCAUGACAUUUGCUUAAAAGGUGCAAUUGCAUCACUACCAGAUGGACCUGCGUUGUAUUAGCUAGUUGGUGGGGUAACGGCUCACCAAGGCGACGAUACAUAGCCGACCUGAGAGGGGGAUCGGCCACACUGGACUGAGACACGGCCCAGACUCCUACGGGAGGCAGCAGUAGGGAAUCUUCGGCAAUGGACGGAAGUCUGACCGAGCAACGCCGCGUGAGUGAAGAAGGUUUUCGGAUCGUAAAGCUCUGUUGUAAGAGAAGAACGAGUGUGAGAGUGGAAAGUUCACACUGUGACGGUAUCUUACCAGAAAGGGACGGCUAACUACGUG